ACAGACUCCUACGGGAGGCAGCAGUGGGGACUCUUGGGCAAUGGGCGCCCGCCUGACCCCGCCCCGCCGCGUGCCGGCCGAAGGCUUUCGGGUUGUAAACUUCUUUUCUCAGGGCCGCCGCAAGUGACGGUACCUGAGGAAUAAGCCACGGCUAACUACGUGCCAGCAGCCGCGGUAAUACGUAGGUGGCAAGCGUUAUCCGGAUUUACUGGGUGUAAAGGGCGUGUAGGCGGGAAAGCAAGUCAGAUGUGAAAACCAUGGGCUCAACCUGUGGCCUGCCUUUGAAACUGUUUUUCUUGAGUACUGGAGAGGCAGACGGAAUUCCUAGUGUAGCGGUGAAAUGCGGAGAUAUUAGGAGGAACACCAGUGGCGAAGGCGGUCUGCUGGACAGCAACUGACGCUGAGGCGCGAAAGCGUGGGGAGCAAACAGGAUUAGAUACCCCGGUAGA
RNAcentral lists this ribosomal RNA (449 nucleotides) under uncultured bacterium. RNAcentral describes it as "partial 16S ribosomal RNA". It matches the Rfam family "Bacterial small subunit ribosomal RNA", at positions 331 to 794 of the family's 1533-position model. The record is from RNAcentral.